CAUUGAGUUAAACAACAAGACGCCGUAAACAUUUAGCUUCUCUGUCACCUAGACCAACUGGUGCAUGUUGAUGACACAAAGAUAGUGGCUGUCAAAGAUAGAGACAAGCUGCCAGUCUGCUCAGAAUCUGCAUUUCUUAAUGGUACACCGAGAUUGGUGACAUCACAUCUUGAGAGCAAGUAGGUCAAAAUGUCAAGUGAAGACAAAAAGAUCUCCUGUGAGGAAUGCGGGAAGGAGUUUCCCUUCAAGAGCCGUCUUCGGACACACUUGCUUACGCACAAUGGAAUCAAAAAUUUUAAAUGUGAUGAUUGUGGGAAAUUGUUUUCACAUAAGAGCACUCUCACUAACCAUAAGGUUGUACACAGUGGUAUAAAAAAGUAUGAGUGUAAUGAGUGUGGGAAAUAUUUUUCACACAAGAGUAACCUUAGGAAACAUUUGCUUAUCCACAAUGGCAUAAAGAAAUUUGGAUGUAGUGUAUGUGGGAAAAAAUUUUCACAGAAGAGUACUCUCAACACACAUAUGCUUAUACAUGGUGGUGUCAAAAAUUUUGAAUGUGAUGAAUGUGGGCAACUUUUUUUAAGAAAAAGUACUCUCCAGAAUCAUUUGCUAGUACACAGUGGCGUCAAAAAGUUUGGAUGUAUUGAAUGUGGAAAACUGUUCUUACGUAAAGGGGAUCUCAAGAAACACUUGUUUGCGCACGAAAGAAAUUAGGCGCGAUAACUGUAGAGAAUAUCUCAAGGUAGGACAACUCAACAUAUACGUAGUGGUGUGCUUAAAAUAAAGGAAACUAUAUUUAAAUAAGGUACACUAACACACCACUUUCAUUGUGAUAAAACAAUAGUUGUGAUCAUGUACUGUCAGGGUGUAAAUUUACUACAGUAUAUCAUUACAGUACUUUACCUUGAGGCAAGACAGUAAGUCAGAAAAUAUGUGGAAGAUAGGGUAACACUCAAGUAUUCCACUCCUAACAAAGUCAUGUGUUUAACCUUUGGCAAUAGUUAACGUGAGCUGAGGUGACUUUGGAUGUUAUCUGAGUAAAAUAUUUCCCUGGUAUUGUGUAUUUUUCCAAGCAAGUAUCUUUUACUAUUUUAUGGUGUAUGCUGAAUGGACGUAUAAUCAGUGACAAAAAUAAUUUUUUUAAAGAAAGAAUUAAUACUGCAAAACUUUCAAUGUCAGAAACGUAUCAGCACAUAGCAUGAUUCCAUAAGUGUAAAUAUUUAUGUUAAUAUGUAUCUGUAUUCUAUAUUUGUUAAAGUUUGACAUGAUUAUAUUUACUACAGAUAUGGGACCAUUUGUCCAGUAUCCAGAACGCUCCAUAAACUGUCUGUGUUCUGGAACGAAUUAUUUAAAAUGAGCACCAAGUAAUUCUUUGGCUGAGCGGAGAUAUUUCCAACCAUUCCCCACCACAGCUGCUGCUGCUGCACUGUUAAGGCGAGCACAAAGAGUACUGCUGACACAGCUUGUACAGUAACUUGUAUAAUUUUUGCACUUGUUAUACUUUCAUUAAUAGCAUUUAUGUGCUUUUGUUAGUGAUGUUUGUGUUUACAGUUUUAAGUUUUAAUAUUACAGUGUACAGCUCAAGCUACUUUUAGGGUGAAUCUAGUAAUCUGAACACAGUCAGCACAGGUAGUUACAGAAGGUUUAUUGUAUAUACUGUAUGUUGUACAUUUUUACACUUGGCACUCCAAAUUCUGGAAGAAAAACCCUAUCCAGCAACCACCAGGUUCCAAGUAACUGUACAGUAUAUGUAAGUUUAGGGUGACCUGGGAUGACUUCAGACAACUAAAAAUUUACAAAAAAUUUCUACUUAAUACACUGGAGUUGUAGUAAUUCACAAAAUACACAUUCACAUUCUUAAAUUUGCAGGUACCUGUGCCUCUAUCAUUUCCCUGUAUAUAAAUGUUGUGGUCAAAUAAUCACAAUUCAGUGUUGAGCGCCGGCUGUACAGAGUUACUCAUUGGCUAUCUACAGUAUAUUGUAAUGGCGGUCUCAAGUCCCCCCACCCCCCAGAUCAGGGGUGACUUGGAACACCCCUAUAAAUGUUUAUGUUCCAGAAUAAUUGUGAUCUUUGAAAUAUUGCUUGGCCAUUGGCCCACACACCAAUAGGAUACUGAACAUCUGCUUUUGGCCUUAUAUCUUGAACAGCAGCUUGAAGAACCGUAAAAAUCAUCUGAAGUCACCCCAAUUCAUUGUAAUAACAUUUAUAUGCAUGAUUUGGCAAUACUAAUUAGCUGUAAGAAUCACAAAAGUGAGGUUUACAAAGCUCAAGAAGUCAGGGAUAUAGAUAGAGGAGCAGAAUUUAAAGUGGUAAAAGUCAAUCUCUACAAGACAGGUUCACACAAUGGAGGCCCCAAGAUAAUUCAGCUUCCUUUCUCCCUUGGAGUCCCCAACCCCUCUUUGGUUUUUCCUACUCAAAAUAUGUUUAACAAGUUCUCUAUUUGAAGUACAAUAAAUUUUCCUCUCUAUAUUCCACAUGGCUUCUUUUACUUUGAAUUAAUGAACUGCUCCUUCCCAGUCUUCAAGACCACCACCUGGCAGGAGAGUUAUUAGUUGCUGCUUUUCAUUAAAUGGAAUGAUAGUAAAGGUCUUUCUCAAGUCUAAUUUUUGUUACCUGUGUGUACAAACAUAUUCUACAAAAAUAUUGAAUAUGAAAACAAUGGAUUUCUGUGUGGCAGUUUUGGUUCGUGUUGGUUGUACAGUGUUUCACUUUGUAGAGGAUCCAAAGGAUCCCUAAACACUGUCUCUCUGGGGUGCACAGUCAUGAGCUACAACAUUCCUUAGUUACAUCUACACAGCUUCACUCUCACUAGUGACACUUGAAGUACUCUACAUCUGGCAGCUGUGUGUGUGUGUGUGUCUUGAAACGGUUUGUAUAGUUGAGAAAACGGGAGUUAUUUCCGCCUUGCGAAAGCUUACGGGUGCUCGGUGGCCACUGUAACCUUUGCUGUACGAUAAGUUUGGGUUAGGGUCACCAUAAACUGUUAGUGAAUCACCCAUUCAGCCUUAAGGUUGGAGUCAGGAUUAGUGAGGUUUCACUGUACAGUCAUUUUGGUGUGAAAGGUAAAUAAACUGUUACUCCUUCCUCUCCCUUUGAGUAGCCCCCAUUCCACCAAGUCACAGGCAUCACCACUUCAGCUGCUGAUCACCCUUGUUUCUGAUACUGUACGUGACUUAUUUCCAGUACAGGCAGACUGAUUUACAAGACUUUGAUUUAUGAAAAUUUGCCAUUACAAUGUUUGUUUUUUGUCCCAUGCUUAGACUUAUUAGCAAAAUCCCAGAACUAAAUGCAAGUUUGUUUAAUUAUUUUUACCAUCAGUAUCCUUACUUGUUACACUAACGUAUUCAUUAUCCUCAAAUACUUGUAAUGUUAUUAAGUCUACAAAUAAGCUUUCAGUGUGUCAUUAUUCUCUCUCAACUCCCAUUAAACCUUAAACUCAUUUGAAGACAAGUAGAUUUUUCAAUCUGCCAGUUUCCUGAUUGUCCAAUUUUUCAUCAUUUAUAUUUAUGUAAUAUGUGGAAAUUUAAAUAAAAGAAAAACGUUUUGUA
This is a long non-coding RNA of Homarus americanus (American lobster), 3546 nucleotides long. RefSeq lists it as uncharacterized. The record is from RefSeq and is a predicted model, not a curated record. The transcript is spliced from 3 exons. Lineage: Eukaryota; Metazoa; Arthropoda; Malacostraca; Decapoda; Nephropidae.